This is a long non-coding RNA of Mobula hypostoma (lesser devil ray), 1559 nucleotides long. RefSeq lists it as uncharacterized. The transcript has 3 exons. Lineage: Eukaryota; Metazoa; Chordata; Chondrichthyes; Myliobatiformes; Myliobatidae. The record is from RefSeq and is a predicted model, not a curated record.
GCCAGAUCAAACAUAUAAAGAGGCUUUGAGGAAAGAGAAGCAGAAUAAACGGUGUAAAGACAGUAAGGUAGAAGGGCUAAAGUGCGUGUACUUCAAUGCAAGAAGCAUCAGGAACAAAGUACCAUGGAAUUCUUUAUAUAGUCACCUGAGAGAAUGGAAUGGAGUUUGAUUUUCCGUGUCAUCUAAUUGACAGCAACUUCAACAAUGCUUUCUUGGAAGUAGGGGCAGAGGGGAUGUCAGGGAGCUGAUGUACGGUUAGAAUGACAAUGAAGUUUUUUGAAUCUUGAAUCGCACAUUAACCUAAAAGAAAACUCAUGCAAGACUUCCUUACCCAAAGAACAAACCAAAUGGGUUGAGGUGAAGAGCACAUUCAAGGUGAAAAUUGAGAAGCGCACGAAGGGAAUGUUAAAGGACUUUGAAUCAAAAUCAGAAUCAAGUUUAUUAUCACCGGCAUGUGACGUGAAAUUUGUUAACUUAGCAGCAGCGUUUCAAUGCAAUACAUAAUCUAGAAGAAAAACUAAGUAGGUAAAUCAGUUACAGUAUAUGCAUAUUGAAUAGAUUUUAAGUCAUUGCAAAAAAACCAGAAAUGUUUUUAAAAAGUGAAGUAGUGUUCAUGGUUUCAAUGUCCAUUCAGAAAUCAGAUGGCAGAGGGGAAGAAGCUGUUCCUGAAUCGCUGAGUGUGUGUCUUCAGGCUCCUGUGCCUCCUCCCUGAUGGUAACAGUGAGGAAAGGGCAUGCCCUGGGUGCUGGAGGUCCUUAAUAAUGGAUGCUGCCUUUCUGAGACACCACUCCUUGAAGAUGUCCUGGGAACUUUGUAGGCUAAUAUCCAAGAUGGAGCCAACUAAAUUUACAACCCUCUGAAGCUUCUCAUAUAGGUGUACCGUGGAUUGAAUGCUCUCCACAGUACAUCUAUAGAAGCUUUUGAAUGUUUUUGUUGACAUACUAAAUCUCUUCAAACUCCUAAUGAUGUAUAGUCGCUGUCUUGCCUUCUUUAUAACUGCAUCGACAUGCUGGGGCCAGAGAUCUUGACACCCAAGAACUUGAAGCUUGUCACUCUCUCCACUUCUGAUCCCACCGAGGAUUGGUUUGUGCUCCUUCGUCUUGCCCUUCCUGAAGUCCACAAUCAGCUCUUCCGUCUUACUGACGUUGAGUGCCAGGUUGUUGCUGUGGCACCAUUCCACUAGUUGGUGUAUCUUACUCCUGAGAUGCCAAAUCAGAUUAGGAGCUGUGGGAGAGAAGCUCAUGGGACCUAUCUCAUGUGAUGCUCUUCAACUCAAUGGCUUAUUCAGAAAGUCAGAAGGCAUGGGAUCCAGGGAAGUUUGGCCAGGUGUAUUCAGAAUUGGCUUGCCUGCGGAAGGUGGUGGAGGGAGUACAUUCAGAUUGGAGGAUUGUGACUAGUGGUGUCCCACAAGGAUCGGUUCUGGGACCUCUACUUUUUGUGAUUUUUAUUAACGACUUGGAUGUGGGGGUAGAAGGGUGGGUUGGCAAGUUUGGAGACAAAGGUUGGCGGUGUUGUGGAUAGUGUAGAGGAUUGUCAAAGAUUGCAGAGAGACAUUGAUA